RNAcentral lists this ribosomal RNA (353 nucleotides) under uncultured bacterium. Its description in RNAcentral is "bacterial SSU rRNA". It matches the Rfam family "Bacterial small subunit ribosomal RNA", at positions 8 to 350 of the family's 1533-position model. The record is from RNAcentral.
AGAGUUUGAUCCUGGCUCAGGAUGAACGCUAGCUACAGGCUUAACACAUGCAAGUCGAGGGGCAGCGGGAUUGAAGCUUGCUUCAAUUGCCGGCGACCGGCGCACGGGUGAGUAACGCGUAUCCAACCUUCCGUACACUCAGGGAUAGCCUUUCGAAAGAAAGAUUAAUACCUGAUGGUAUGAUGAAAUUGCAUGAUAGCAUCAUUAAAGAUUUAUCGGUGUACGAUGGGGAUGCGUUCCAUUAGGUAGUAGGCGGGGUAACGGCCACCUAGCCUACGAUGGAUAGGGGUUCUGGAGAGGAAGGUCCCCCACACUUGGAACUGAGACACGGUCCAAACUCCUAACGGGAGGCA